Molecule: ribosomal RNA, 250 nt
Filed under: uncultured prokaryote
Description: partial 16S ribosomal RNA
Rfam family: Bacterial small subunit ribosomal RNA
Source: RNAcentral
UACGGAGGAUGCGAGCGUUAUCCGGAUUCAUUGGGUUUAAAGGGUGCGCAGGCGUGGCGUUAAGUCAGUGGUGAAAAAUACGUGCUCAACAUGUACCGUGCCAUUGAUACUGGCGCCGUAGAGUUCAAGUGGCGUGGCCGGAAUGUGUCGUGUAGCGGUGAAAUGCAUAGAUAUGACACAGAACGCCGAUCGUGAAGACAGGUCACGAACUUGCGACAGACGCUCAUGCACGAAAGCGUGGGGAUCAAAC